UAGGGAAUCUUCGGCAAUGGGCGAAAGUCUGACCGAGCAACGCCGCGUGAGUGAAGAAGGUUUUCGGAUCGUAAAACUCUGUUGUUAGAGAAGAACAAGGACGUUAGUAACUGAACGUCCCCUGACGGUAUCUAACCAGAAAGCCACGGCUAACUACGUGCCAGCAGCCGCGGUAAUACGUAGGUGGCAAGCGUUGUCCGGAUUUAUUGGGCGUAAAGCGAGCGCAGGCGGUUUCUUAAGUCUGAUGUGAAAGCCCCCGGCUCAACCGGGGAGGGUCAUUGGAAACUGGGAGACUUGAGUGCAGAAGAGGAGAGUGGAAUUCCGUGUGUAGCGGUGAAAUGCGUAGAUAUAUGGAGGAACACCAGUGGCGAAGGCCGCUCUCUGGUCUGUAACUGACGCUGAGGCUCGAAAGCGUGGGGAGCAAACAGG
RNAcentral lists this ribosomal RNA (429 nucleotides) under Gemmatimonadota bacterium. RNAcentral describes it as "Gemmatimonadetes bacterium partial 16S ribosomal RNA". It matches the Rfam family "Bacterial small subunit ribosomal RNA", at positions 355 to 776 of the family's 1533-position model. Lineage: Bacteria; Pseudomonadati; Gemmatimonadota. The record is from RNAcentral.